AAAUCUUGAGGCUUAACUUCAAAACAGCAGUCGAAACUAUUAGACUAGAGUAUAGUAGGGGUAAAGGGAAUUUCCAGUGGAGCGGUGAAAUGCGUAGAUAUUGGAAAGAACACCGAUGGCGAAAGCACUUUACUGGGCUAUUACUAACACUCAGAGACGAAAGCUAGGGUAGCAAAUGGGAUUAGAUACCCCAGUAGUCCUAGCUGUAAACAAUGGAUACUAGAUGUUGAACAGAUCGACCUGUGCAGUAUUAAAGCUAACGCGUUAAGUAUCCCGCCUGGGAAGUAUGCUCGCAAGA
This 298-nucleotide ribosomal RNA is filed under the name uncultured Eubacterium sp. RNAcentral describes it as "partial 16S ribosomal RNA". It matches the Rfam family "Bacterial small subunit ribosomal RNA", at positions 597 to 893 of the family's 1533-position model. Lineage: Bacteria; Bacillati; Bacillota; Clostridia; Eubacteriales; Eubacteriaceae. The record is from RNAcentral.